CGAACACAUUAUUCAUUAUCAAGACUCAAUAGAGUCGAACAACUUAAAUAAAACAUUGCGUUUUAAAAUGAUGAAACGGUUAUUUGUAGUACGGAGUACUUAAAAAUAUAAAGAGUUGAAACAAGGACUGGGGCCUUUCGCGCUGCUGGUAUAACGUGUGCUGCUGCCACCGCUACAGCUCGCUCUUCCUACUCAUCUUGAUUUCAGAGUGGGAGCAGCAUUUUAUCCAACACAUGGAGAGUUGAUCAUAGAUAUUUAUCGGCGAUGUGAUGGUUCAUGUACAACCUAAUUGUUCUUUUUGGUGCCCUCAGGUUUUCAGUAAAAGACAAGUGACCGCAAGGACACGAUUACCCUGUUCGAUUGAAGAGCAUCACGAGCGAAGAAUCAAGAAGCGCUGUAUACACCGAUUACAAAUUUUCAUGCUGACAGACGAUGUUUUAUCAAGGCAUCACGAAUAACUUCAGGUUAGUUAGUGUCGCUGCAUGUCCAUAGAGGCAUUCAGCAGCACACUUCCCUGCCAGCUUGAAGAGAAGGCUGCCGAACGACUUUGCAAUGUUGAUUACUUCGGUCUUGAGCACAAGGAGACAGGGCAUGACACAGGUGCACAACCAACCGUACAACAGUCUUGCUGGUGUAGCUACGGUCAACAUGUUUGAUGGAAUGUCCUACAGGCUGCAACUGGCGAUGGUGUGCUUGGCGCAACAGAAUGGUGUUAAUAUUACCACGAAAUAGGCGUUAUGUAAAUUGUUUUUCAGGUCUAUUUUUAAAAGGGAUCCUAUGUGCAGAAGGUGAGUUAUCAGAAACCAUGGUCAUACAGUAUUUGAGUUACAUGUGAGGUUUCUAAAUUUAACUUCUAGGCAUGGUAUUUGCACGCUAACAUUUACUCAAAAUGCAUGCUUUUGUUGUACCUUUCCUUCUUCUGUUCAGAUUUAUUUGAUGUCCCAAUGCUAUAUACUAUGUGCGGAUGCUCCUCUUUUGAUAAGCACGGCGUGUUCCCACAACUUAUUUACUUCCCCUUCUACACACACUAUUUUAGCUUCCAAUAUUGUUAGCAAAUAACUAUCACAAAUGCUCAUCCAGCAAUGUUUCUAGCUUCUUAAAUUACACAUUGCUCAGAGCGUUGGUUUCCCAUUCAUACAGAUUACUUUCAGUACAGUAUUAUUAAAAAAUGAUUAUCACGGAUAAGAUAAUGUUUACAUCUUUGCUCCUCCUAAAAUGUGGAUUAUUCUAGCUCCACAUACUAUCAGAAAAUGAUCAUCACACUUGCUGAUUUAGCGAUGCUUCCAUCUUUUCGAACCACAUGUUGUUCAGAUAUACAUGUAUUAAGAUGACCAAUAGUAAUUAAAAUCAUUCAGUUUUCUUUGUAUACAUUUCAGCACAUGAAUUCUGAGUAGGUAAUUAGGUGUAUUCUUCUACAUAGAUUUAGAUCUUGGAAAGCUGCUCAUGAAAGCAAAUGUUCAGAGUAAAUUUCGUUUGCAGGUUUACCAAGAAAAUACUACAGCGAUUAAUCAUAAGGCAUACUUUUGAUCCUAGAACAGGAAGUGUAUUUGCACAGUAUAUGAUAUAACUCACCAGUUUGUUAUAAUUGCCUCUAGAAGGACUAUUAGCUAAUCAGAAUUGUCCGUACUGUACUUAAAGUUCAGUGUUGUUGAUGCUAAAUGGACCAGACGAAGUAAUUGCAUAGCAUCCGUUUUAGGAUUUGGAACCUUAAAAAUCUAUUGAAGGAAUUUAUAUGGAAAGAAGAAAAGGUUUGUGCAUUUAGGGGUAUGUGUUUCUCCUCUUCUCUUCAAUUCAGUUUGUUGACCAUAUGAAUGAGGUCCACAUGAUACACAUUCGGGAUACUGAUGUGGUACACAUGAAGUAUUCUGAGAUUACGAAAGUGUGAUUUAAAAGGUGAGUUUUUUCACCGUUCUGCUUUGAUUGGUGGAUAUACUUCUACAAACAUAAGUUCAGAUUAAUUGUUUCAAUGCUAACUAUAGUAAUUUUGCUCCAGAAUGAUGUACAUAUUAGAGUUGAUCUACUUCUAAUUUCCUUGCAUUCAGUUCUUACAGUUUGCCUACUUUUUAAACAUGACUUCAAACCUAGAUUUGUAACAAUAAAUUAUUGUUUGUGUACCGACCAGGUAUGGACGAGUCAAGGAGGAAAGUGUCAGCGAGUCCAGGAAAUCUUUCUGACCAACAGUCUACUUUUUUUUAGCAUAGCAUAAGUGAGUAAUUCUGCAUAUUGAAAAAUGAGAUAGGGCCCUCACUCAUAUCCUUUAUGCUUACUUUUUAUUUAGAAUAUUUUCCACUGUAAAGAUUCUUCUCUCUACGGAUUCAAAAUUCUCCAGAUUUUGGGACUGUAAAAAUUCCCUAUGUUCAGAGGACAAUAGUAGGAAAAUAAUGUUGGGUCACAAAAUAUGCCAUGCAGUGCAAGUUAUGUGGUACAUAUGGCCCAUUAGUCAUAUGUUGGACUUUGUUCUGUCGGCUAUUUAGAUCAUCAAAACAUCCGACAUAUGUGCGUUCUCUAAUUUCUGUCUACAUUUUUUGUAUAAGCACAUUAUUAUAUACAUUAUGUGUAUGCUUUUCUGAGCUAAA
Lolium perenne is the source of this 2576-nucleotide long non-coding RNA. RefSeq lists it as uncharacterized. The record is from RefSeq and is a predicted model, not a curated record. Lineage: Eukaryota; Viridiplantae; Streptophyta; Magnoliopsida; Poales; Poaceae.